RNAcentral lists this ribosomal RNA (442 nucleotides) under uncultured bacterium. RNAcentral's name for it is "partial 16S ribosomal RNA". It matches the Rfam family "Bacterial small subunit ribosomal RNA", at positions 338 to 795 of the family's 1533-position model. The record is from RNAcentral.
CCUACGGGUGGCUGCAGUGGGGAAUAUUGGGCAAUGGGCGCAAGCCUGACCCAGCAACGCCGCGUGAAGGAAGAAGGCUUUCGGGUUGUAAACUUCUUUUAAGAGGGAAGAGCAGAAGACGGUACCUCUUGAAUAAGCCACGGCUAACUACGUGCCAGCAGCCGCGGUAAUACGUAGGUGGCAAGCGUUGUCCGGAUUUACUGGGUGUAAAGGGCGUGUAGCCGGGCUGACAAGUCAGAUGUGAAAUUCCGCGGCUCAACCGCGGACCUGCAUUUGAAACUGUUGGUCUUGAGUAUCGGAGAGGCCGGCGGAAUUCCUAGUGUAGCGGUGAAAUGCGUAGAUAUUAGGAAGAACACCAGUGGCGAAGGCGGACUGCUGGACGACAACUGACGGUGAGGCGCGAAAGCGUGGGGAGCAAACAGGAUUAGAUACCCUUGUAGUC